This 466-nucleotide long non-coding RNA is filed under the name Eucalyptus grandis. RNAcentral describes it as "long non-coding RNA (EGRA_LNC006664)". Lineage: Eukaryota; Viridiplantae; Streptophyta; Magnoliopsida; Myrtales; Myrtaceae. The record is from RNAcentral.
CAGGCGAUGAAAAACGGCGUCGUGGUGGCAUGUGCCGCGGGGAACGCCAGCCCUGCCAGGUCAACUCUAUCAAACAUGUUAAUUUGCUCCUCGCUUAUUACAGUAAACCUCAGAAGUCCAUGGCAGAUUUGGAGAAACUUCACAGAGACAUGAUGCAAAUCUUGCUUUACCAGCUUUUCAUCAAGGCCAUGAAAAGGUGUCUGUCAUUCUUAAAUAGCUUAAUACUCCACAUUCUAAUGAGCCCUUCGAUCAUAUUCAACGUGAAUUUUGCAGAAGUUGCCAAUAAAGAAGAUGAUUAUGUAGGUCCCAAAGAGUAGCAUCAUGUAAAAGUUCAUUUCCAGGAUGGAAUCUUGAAUCUAACAUCUUAUUGAUUCUUUUUUGGUGAAAGACCUAAGUGUUGAUUAAAAUGCACUAAGAUAAGUUAAUUUCCACAAUGCACUUGGAGCACAUCUUUCUUAAUAGCUAC